RNAcentral lists this transfer RNA (76 nucleotides) under Micropepsis pineolensis. RNAcentral's name for it is "tRNA-Thr". It matches the Rfam family "tRNA". From Rfam's summary of the family: Transfer RNA (tRNA) molecules are approximately 80 nucleotides in length. Their secondary structure includes four short double-helical elements and three loops (D, anti-codon, and T loops). RNAcentral also lists the same sequence under 6 other names. Lineage: Bacteria; Pseudomonadati; Pseudomonadota; Alphaproteobacteria; Micropepsales; Micropepsaceae. The record is from RNAcentral.
GCCGCCUUAGCUCAGCCGGUAGAGCAACGCAUUCGUAAUGCGUGGGUCGGGUGUUCGAGUCACCCAGGCGGCACCA